GAGUUUGAGAAAAAAAGGAGUUUGGCUGUUGCCUAAAAAGGCUCAUAGGAAGGAGAAGACAGAACUUCUCUCGCUGAUGGUUUCCCUGGGAGACCAUGAAGCCUGGCUGAAGGAAAGGUUUUCCACUUUGGAAGAUUCUGUGCAGCCUCAGAAACCUCUCCGUGCACUGCAGUCUGGGCUGCGUGAGGCUGUGGCUGUGUGCCCCGGGAAGAAGAGAAAAUCAGGGCAGGAAGAAACUGAAGACAGAAAGAAGGCUGAUUUUUCAAAAGCAUCCCAGAAGAUGAAUACUUCGACGUCCAAUUGUCCUUGGGAAGGAGUCUCCGCUUAUUAUACGAUACUGAAGAUGGAGGACCACUGACGCCAUCCAUGCAUAUCCUGAGUCAUUCAGAGAUGAGCCAAACUGAUUUCACACACUCACUGUGUAGCUGAAGGACUAGUUAUGUUGCUGGGGCACCCAGAAACUCAACCAUGCCUGCACAGAAAACAAAAGUGACACCUGCCUCACUCUCCUUUACACACUGCAAGCCAAGAAGAAGUGCCAAGAUGGCAAAGCUGGGAAAGAAAGCCCCAUCCCGAUGAUACUGCCCACCAGCUCAUUACACAAGCAGCCAAGAAGCGAAGACAGAUAAGAAGGAACUUGAAAGGCACAAGCAGGACUUUUCUACACAGAUCCUGUGGUUUCGAGGCUGGACAUUUAGCGAGAUGUGUCAAAUGCAGCAGGAUGACGUAUUCCUGCAUGUUUCCCGAGAGGCAGCGCUGUAUAGUCACGAAGAGGACGGCACCAUGGAUCAGACGAGCUGGCUGUGGUCUGAGUAAGCAGGGCUGACUCAGCACUGAUAGGACUCAGCACAGAGGCAGCUGCUUCUGCAUGACACAGCAUGUGUGUCAGGACUGACACAGCAUCAGCAUCUUUCUCGUGUUGCACGUUACCAUGCCCUUCCGAAAGACUGUCAUGAAAGAAGCUUGGUCUCCAUCUGGAGUGACACCAGCGAAGUUACCAAACCUUACUUUUGCUUCUUUAUAGCCACAGAUGGGAAUAGUUAUCCUGAAAGACCCUUCGCUGAUUAACUGCGCCAGCCUUUCUUUUUGUGCAGGGUUGGAGAGAGAAGAUGUUAUUAGAACAUGCCACCCGGGAGCUGUGUCUCAGAACUGAGGGAGUGUGGGGGCUUAGUUUCUUGGGAGCGCCCGAGUGCAGAGACCGUAUGGUGUAAACACACAGCACACAGCACACACAGCAGUCACUGUCUGUUGAGAACAUCAGCGGACCCGAGUUGAAACAACCUAUGCUCAGGACUCUGCCGAGGGCUCCCUGCAUAGAAGAGAUGGUUCUUCAGAGAUAAUUCUCUCCGUGCUUCGAUCCGUGACCGAGACGGGCCGGUAAGAAGCUGCGAUAAAAUAUCUCGACAUCUGGUAGGUUUUUUCUCCAGCCAGCUCACAGGAGCCUUCCUGGGAAGUCUGGAAGCACUGCCAGUAGAACCCAAUCUAAUUCAAUCACUGCUCCACCCACCUGAAAAUCAUCUGUGAGAUGAAUGUACAGAGUGCG
Long non-coding RNA from Meriones unguiculatus (Mongolian gerbil), 1543 nucleotides. RefSeq lists it as uncharacterized. The record is from RefSeq and is a predicted model, not a curated record. The transcript has 5 exons. Lineage: Eukaryota; Metazoa; Chordata; Mammalia; Rodentia; Muridae.